RNAcentral lists this long non-coding RNA (1408 nucleotides) under Aotus nancymaae (Ma's night monkey). RNAcentral describes it as "lncRNA (ENSANAG00000038896.1)". Lineage: Eukaryota; Metazoa; Chordata; Mammalia; Primates; Aotidae. The record is from RNAcentral.
AAAACCUUCCUGGGUAAUAUCUCAGGUUUCAACCACUCCAUGCUCUAAUAGAUGGAGUUAAAUGUGGACAUGACUGGACCCCAUAGAAAAUCUUUUAUUGACCCUGAGUCACUGUGGGUUCAUCCGAUGACACCGUAGGAGUCACCCCUUCUCGGACAGCCUGUCCUGCGAAUUCUGUUUCACCAAGAAACAUGUAAGCUGUCUUGAACGAACUUAAUCAGCUUUGGAUCCACUUGAGAGAUAAGAGAAGAUUGCUACUUUUCCCAGAAAAGAAUAAAAAACUAAAUGAGAAGAGUUAUUUAUACUUCUGGCCGUCACCUUCAGCAGGCAGUUAAGAUUGCCCUAUUGAGUAGCCUCUGCUUAUAAUAGAAGGAGUGAAGGCAGAAAAAUGGAGUUAAUGUUGCCAUAAGACAUGACAAAGCCUCUGGUUUCCAGGAUCAGCCUGAAAUGAAUUAAAGCCGAAUUCUACCAACAAAUCUGUCACGCUGCCCUGAAAACAGGAAGUCUAGGCUGGGCCAACAGGAAUUAGUCACGGUACACACUGGCAAACCCUCCCAGAUCAGGGCAUGAAAAAUGUGCUUCAUCUGCAAAAAUCAACUGUCGGAAUUCAUGCAGUGUUUUCCAUUACCCACUUUCUUUCCUCCAAAGGCCAGUCAUCAAAUAUGCUUGGCUCGCUUAGGCUUCUGCUGCGCCAUUGAGUGUACACACUUGUGUGUGAAAUGGAAUCCCAUCUAGCUGGUGCCCUUGGAUAAAUGACCUCAUUUUUCUGGACCUGAGUUUUGUCUUCUGAAAUAGGAGGAGGCUGGCAUCUCAUGAUCCUGAGACUUCGACUUUCUUGGGGGUGAGGAAAUAAUAUAUCAGACAGUCACUGAAUACCCACAAAAUGCUCAGAACUGUGCUAACAAAUGGAGAUAGAAAAUGAAGGAGAUAUAUUCCUUUAAAGAGUUUCCAGUGUCUGCAGGGAGACAUAUACUUAGAGAAAUGUAUUAUGGAAACAGUGCUAAGGCCAGCAGAAGUCUACAUUAUCUAAGGCAUUUUACAGUGUGUUACAAUGAGUUUUUUCCUGAUCCUGAAGUUAGCCAAGGCCCAAAGCUAGAGAAAAAAGGCCCUACCAACAUUCCAUCCCAAAGAAGCUCUUCAGCAAAUGAAGCCAGCAUCAAUUGUCCAUGGCUUACUGGAAUGGACAAGAGCAAUGCAGGCUCUACUUCACCUCCUACGGCACCACUGCCUCCUUUCAGGAGAAGGGAACCAAAAGUUCCUCAUAGGCCUUACUUAGAAGGUGUCGGAGAGGACCUGACUCCAGCAGUCCCAGCAGCUCCAUGGAAAGAGCACCAGGUUUCGUGGAGAAGCAGCAGCUGUGGUCCGCCUAGUGAACAAUUGCACCGAACAGUGCAUUGCUCGGCCUGGA